Molecule: long non-coding RNA, 1767 nt
Filed under: Olea europaea subsp. europaea
Lineage: Eukaryota; Viridiplantae; Streptophyta; Magnoliopsida; Lamiales; Oleaceae
Source: RNAcentral
AGGCUUUCAAGUGGUUUCAAGCUUUAAAAUAGGGAAAAAUUCACAAUUGCAUAUGAAAAAAUAUCAAUUAUUUAAAAUACUGUCAUGCAUAUUAUUAUACAUUUUUUUUUUACUUAAAUUGGGGCAUAUUAUGAUUAAAAAUACUCACAUGUAGACCUUCUGUGUUUAGGACUGUAACUGAAAUUUCUCUCACCAUUAUUAAUGGAAUGUAGCUGAUUACUUGGAAAUUCAUAUUCAAAUUGAUGUACACUGUGAAGAAUGAAUUUAAUUAGGAUUCACCGUUACCGUUCUGCAUCAUCCGAAACAUGCCUUGACGCAACGGAAAGUCUCUGCAGAAUUUGCUUUCCUAAAAAUGAAAUCCUCCCAAUAGGUUUUGACGUUCAAAGGUUUUGGGAUGUAGAACUGUUAUCUGUUUUUUGUUAUUGUCCAUGGACAUGGAAAGCUUAACUCGCCUUUUACCUCAAGCUGUGCUAUCUACCGUAUCUGCCAUUUGCACUAUUUCACAUCCUGGCUUGUAGUCAUUGGUGGUAUAACCCUUGAUUGAGGUUGUAGCAUAUUCUGAACUAACAUCAGGUUGAUAAAAAUGAUGACGAACCAAAGCAAAUAGAACAGAGUCUCGAUUGAAGAAAGAAUACCAUGAGAACAAAGAGCCAAUUCACGCUGCAAAGCAGAGAACAAAAAUUGAAAAUGAUCACUUAGGUGACAUUGACACCACCAAAAAGGCCAAAACAGGCACAUCUUAUACAGAAAAACAUAGCAGCAACAGGGAUAUACUUCUGUUUGAAAGAAAACUAGAAAGAGAAAAGACAAAAAAUCAGUAUGGGAGAGGCCGAUGAAGGUGGAGGCUCACUUUCAAUUUCUCUCGUUUUGACAAUUCUUUCACAAGGAAGAUGCAAUCUUUCCAAUUCAGCCAGCAUAAAAUAAUCCAUAGUAUAAAGAUAACAAAUCCAUCAAAACGAAGAGUUCAUAGUAGCCACAAAAAGAUAACAAGCAAUGCAAUAACAUAAACCAACAUACACAAAGCCGAUUUUUGGUCCUUUUUCCCCAAGGGUCAAUUGAAGGUAGACAAACUAAGGUUCUGAAAAAUAACAUUGUCCUCCCCAGUGUUGAGAUGGAUUUUGAAAAAAAUAAAAUAAAAUAAAAUUUCCAAAACGAUUCAUUCACCCUCUACCCUUCACAUAAAAAGACCAACAAAAAGAAAAAUAAAAUAACCACCGAUUUUUAUCUCCAAAGAUGAAAAAUUCAUACCCCCACCAAACUAACUGCAACUACUAUUGUCAUUUUUUACCAAGUACAUAAUCUUCAUGAUAAAUAUUGACAUUGUAAAGACAUAACCCAAUUGCAAAAAAGAAACCAUAUCUCCUUCCUCUCAAUCUCUAUAAUUUCAAAAUUUCAAUCCAUGAUUUUCAUCAUCACAGUUGUGUGCCGCCGCCACCAUUACAUAUUAAACCGAAGAGCUCACUUCAAUGCCAGAAAUAUGCCUAUUGUAAGCAACAGUAAUAAUUCAAGCCAUAUUCUAAUUGAUUCCAAGAUUAUUUGGCCGUGAUAUCGGAAAGUCGAUAAAUUUUAUGUCUCAAAAUUGAAACAUAGAACAAAUGCUCAACUCUGAAAAUGAAAAGAUGUGGGGUAGAAGAAAAGAGAGAGAUCUUAAUGUACUGCAAAACCUGUAGCCUAUCUCAGUCUUCCAACUGGACAUUGAAGACCAUGAUUUCUUGCAUUUGUUUGAGAAAGAGGAGCUAGGUUUUGACUUUUGAGGCAUCAAUUGGG